GGAUUGUUCGCAAUGGGCGCAAGCCUGACGACGCAACGCCGCGUGGAGGAUGAAGGUCUUCGGAUUGUAGACUCCUGUUGCUCGGGACGAAUGGCUCCGACCUAAUACGUCGGAGUGUGACGGUACCGGGUGAGGAAGCCCCGGCUAACUCUGUGCCAGCAGCCGCGGUAAUACAGAGGGGGCAAGCGUUGUUCGGAAUUACUGGGCGUAAAGGGCGCGUAGGCGGCCUGCUAAGUCGAACGUGAAAUCCCCGGGCUCAACCCGGGAACUGCGUCCGAUACUGGCAGGCUUGAAUCCGGGAGAGGGAUGUGGAAUUCCAGGUGUAGCGGUGAAAUGCGUAGAUAUCUGGAAGAACACCAGUGGCGAAGGCGGCAUCCUGGACCGGUAUUGACGCUGAGGCGCGAAAGCCAGGGUAGCAAACGGG
RNAcentral lists this ribosomal RNA (424 nucleotides) under uncultured bacterium. RNAcentral describes it as "bacterial SSU rRNA". It matches the Rfam family "Bacterial small subunit ribosomal RNA", at positions 359 to 776 of the family's 1533-position model. The record is from RNAcentral.